RNAcentral lists this ribosomal RNA (253 nucleotides) under uncultured bacterium. RNAcentral describes it as "partial 16S ribosomal RNA". It matches the Rfam family "Bacterial small subunit ribosomal RNA", at positions 524 to 776 of the family's 1533-position model. The record is from RNAcentral.
UACGAAGGGGGCUAGCGUUGCUCGGAAUCACUGGGCGUAAAGGGUGCGUAGGCGGGUCUUUAAGUCAGGGGUGAAAUCCUGGAGCUCAACUCCAGAACUGCCUUUGAUACUGAGGAUCUUGAGUUCGGGAGAGGUGAGUGGAACUGCGAGUGUAGAGGUGAAAUUCGUAGAUAUUCGCAAGAGCACCAGUGGCGAAGGCGGCUCACUGGCCCGGUACUGACGCUGAGGCACGAAAGCGUGGGGAGCAAACAGG